ACCCUUUAAUGUUUGAUGUUCUAACGUGGACCCGUAAUCCGGGUUGCGGACAGUGUCUGGUGGGUAGUUUGACUGGGGCGGUCUCCUCCUAAAGAGUAACGGAGGAGCACGAAGGUUGGCUAAUCCUGGUCGGACAUCAGGAGGUUAGUGCAAUGGCAUAAGCCAGCUUGACUGCGAGCGUGACGGCGCGAGCAGGUGCGAAAGCAGGUCAUAGUGAUCCGGUGGUUCUGAAUGGAAGGGCCAUCGCUCAACGGAUAAAAGGUACUCCGGGGAUAACAGGCUGAUACCGCCCAAGAGUUCAUAUCGACGGCGGUGUUUGGCACCUCGAUGUCGGCUCAUCACAUCCUGGGGCUGAAGUAGGUCCCAAGGGUAUGGCUGUUCGCCAUUUAAAGUGGUACGCGAGCUGGGUUUAGAACGUCGUGAGACAGUUCGGUCCCUAUCUGCCGUGG
Molecule: ribosomal RNA, 449 nt
Filed under: Salmonella enterica
Lineage: Bacteria; Pseudomonadati; Pseudomonadota; Gammaproteobacteria; Enterobacterales; Enterobacteriaceae
Also listed under: 2 other names
Description: partial 23S ribosomal RNA
Rfam family: Bacterial large subunit ribosomal RNA
Source: RNAcentral